Molecule: ribosomal RNA, 421 nt
Filed under: uncultured low G+C Gram-positive bacterium
Lineage: Bacteria; Bacillati; Bacillota
Description: bacterial SSU rRNA
Rfam family: Bacterial small subunit ribosomal RNA
Source: RNAcentral
AGCCUGGGAUAACAGCGGGAAACUGGUGCUAAUACCGGAUAUCUUUGUUUUGAGGCAUCUUAAGACAAAGAAAGGUUAACGCUUUAGGAUGGGCCCGCGUCCCAUUAGCUAGUUGGUGAGGUAACGGCUCACCAAGGCGACGAUGGGUAGCCGGCCUGAGAGGGUGUACGGCCACACUGGGACUGAGACACGGCCCAGACUCCUACGGGAGGCAGCAGUAGGGAAUAUUGCGCAAUGGGGGCAACCCUGACGCAGCGACGCCGCGUGAGUGAUGAAGGCCUUCGGGUCGUAAAGCUCUGUCAUGAGGGAAGAAAAAAUGACGGUCCUCAUGAGGAAGCCCCGGCUAACUACGUGCCAGCAGCCGCGGUAAUACGUAGGGGGCAAGCGUUGUCCGGAAUUACUGGGCGUAAAGGGUGCGUAG